RNAcentral lists this ribosomal RNA (301 nucleotides) under uncultured bacterium. RNAcentral describes it as "partial 16S ribosomal RNA". It matches the Rfam family "Bacterial small subunit ribosomal RNA", at positions 509 to 807 of the family's 1533-position model. The record is from RNAcentral.
CAGCAGCCACGGUAAUACGAGGGGCGCAAGCGUUAUUCGGAUUGAUUGGGUGUAAAGGGUGUGCAGACGGCUUAUUAAGUCACUUGCUAAAUUCUUCGGCCUAACUGAAGGUCUGCAAGUGAUACUGAUGAGCUAGAGGGUGGAAGAGAGAAGUGGAAUUCUCGGAGUAGCGGUAAAAUGCGUAGAUCUCGAGAGGAACACCAAUGGCGAAGGCAGCUUCUUGGUCCAUUCCUGACGUUCAUACACGAAAGCGUGGGGAGCAAACAGGAUUAGAUACCCCCGUAGUCCCUGUCUCUUAUAC